Molecule: ribosomal RNA, 433 nt
Filed under: uncultured bacterium
Lineage: Bacteria
Description: bacterial SSU rRNA
Rfam family: Bacterial small subunit ribosomal RNA
Source: RNAcentral
ACUGAACGCUGGCGGCAUGGUUAAAGCAUGCAAGUCGAACGGAGCCGCAAGGCUCAGUGGCGGAAGGGUGAGUAAUACGAUUGAACGUACCCUGAGGUGGCGGAUAGGCAUGGGAAACUGUGCGUAAUACGCCAUGAUCUCUACGGAGCAAAGAUUUAUCGCCUUGGGAGCGGCAAUCGACCUAUCAGGUAGUUGGCGGGGUAAAGGCCCACCAAGCCUAUGACGGGUAGCAGGUGUGAGAGCACGGCCUGCCACAUCGGGACUGAGACACUGCCCGGACUCCUACGGGAGGCUGCAGCGACGAAUCUUCCGCAAUGGACGAAAGUCUGACGGAGCGAUGCCGCGUGUGGGAUGAAGCGGCUUUGCCGUGUAAACCACUGUCAGAAGGUAGAAACAAUGAUCACCUUCAAAGGAAGGGUCGACUAACCCUGUG